AUUUGUACCGAUUCAAUGAUAGCU
Molecule: microRNA, 24 nt
Filed under: Parasteatoda tepidariorum (common house spider)
Lineage: Eukaryota; Metazoa; Arthropoda; Arachnida; Araneae; Theridiidae
Description: pte-miR-3931-5p
Source: miRBase by way of RNAcentral